This 360-nucleotide ribosomal RNA is filed under the name Narceus annularis. Its description in RNAcentral is "SSU rRNA". It matches the Rfam family "Eukaryotic small subunit ribosomal RNA", at positions 761 to 1120 of the family's 1831-position model. The record is from RNAcentral. Lineage: Eukaryota; Metazoa; Arthropoda; Diplopoda; Spirobolida; Spirobolidae.
CUUUACUUUGAAAANAUUGGAGUGCUCAAAGCAAGCAAGAGCCGCUUGUACAUCUCAGCAUGGAAUAAUGGAAUACGACCUCGUGUYNUUUUGUUGGUUUCCGGAGUACGAGGUAAUGAUUAAUUGGGACUGCCGGGGGCAUUCGUAUUGCAGCGCGAGAGGUGAAAUUCUUGGACCGUUGCAAGACGUCCCAGAGCGAAAGCAUUUGCCAAGAAUGUUUUCAUUAAUCAAGAACGAAAGUUAGAGGUUCGAAGGCGAUCAGAUACCGCCCUNGUUCUAACCAUAAACGAUGCCAACCAGCGAUCAGCGAGCGUUCCUCCAAUGACGCUGCUNGCAACUUCCGGGAAACCAAAGUAUUUG